RNAcentral lists this ribosomal RNA (535 nucleotides) under Nosema sp. C PSH-2011. RNAcentral describes it as "SSU rRNA". It matches the Rfam family "Microsporidia small subunit ribosomal RNA", at positions 1 to 594 of the family's 1311-position model. Lineage: Eukaryota; Fungi; Microsporidia; Nosematidae. The record is from RNAcentral.
CCAGGUUGAUUCUGCCUGACGUAGACGCUAUUCCCUAAGAUUAACCCAUGCAUGUUAUUGAUUUUUGAAAAAUGGACUGCUCAGUAAUACUCACUUUAUUUUAUGUAUACUUAUUAUAACCACGUUAAAGUGUAGAUAAAAUGUAUACAGUAAGAGUGAGACCUAUCAGCUAGUUGUUAAGGUAAUGGCUUAACAAGGCAGUGACGGGUAACGGUAUUACUUUGUAAUAUUCCGGAGAAGGAGCCUGAGAGACGGCUACUAAGUCUAAGGAUUGCAGCAGGGGCGAAACUUGACCUAUGGAUUUUAUCUGAGGCAGUUAUGGGAAGUAAUAUUAUGUUGUUUCAUGUUUUAAAAGUAUAUGAGGUGAUUAAUUGGAGGGCAAAUCAAGUGCCAGCAGCCGCGGUAAUACUUGUUCCAAGAGUGUGUAUGAUGAUUGAUGCAGUUAAAAGUCCGUAGUUUAUUUUUAAGAAGCAAUAUGAGGUGUACUGUAUAGUUGGGAGAGAGAUGAAAUGUGACGACCCUGACUGGACGAACA